ACGAACGCUGGCGGCAGGCUUAACACAUGCAAGUCGAGCGCGUAGCAAUACGAGCGGCAGACGGGUGAGUAACGCGUGGGGAUGUGCCUGGUGGUACGGAACAACUCAGGGAAACUUGAGCUAAUACCGUAUAAGCCCUUUUGGGGAAAGAUUUAUCGCCACCAGAUCAACCCGCGUUGGAUUAGCUAGUUGGUGAGGUAACGGCUCACCAAGGCGACGAUCCAUAGCUGGUCUGAGAGGAUGAUCAGCCACACUGGGACUGAGACACGGCCCAGACUCCUACGGGAGGCAGCAGUGGGGAAUAUUGGACAAUGGGCGCAAGCCUGAUCCAGCCAUGCCGCGUGAGUGAUGAAGGCCUUAGGGUUGUAAAGCUCUUUCACUGGGGAAGAUAAUGACGGUACCCAGAGAAGAAGCCCCGGCUAACUUCGU
This 429-nucleotide ribosomal RNA is filed under the name uncultured bacterium. Its description in RNAcentral is "bacterial SSU rRNA". It matches the Rfam family "Bacterial small subunit ribosomal RNA", at positions 29 to 506 of the family's 1533-position model. The record is from RNAcentral.